GGGUUGUGAGGUUAAGCGACUAAGCGUACACGGUGGAUGCCCUGGCAGUCAGAGGCGAUGAAGGACGUGCUAAUCUGCGAAAAGCGUCGGUAAGGUGAUAUGAACCGUUAUAACCGGCGAUGUCCGAAUGGGGAAACCCAGUGCAAUUCGUUGCACUAUCGUUAACUGAAUACAUAGGUUAACGAGGCGAACCGGGGGAACUGAAACAUCUAAGUACCCCGAGGAAAAGAAAUCAACCGAGAUUCCCCCAGUAGCGGCGAGCGAACGGGGAGCAGCCCGGAGUCUGAAUCAGCUUGUGUGUUAGUGGAAGCGUCUGGAAAGUCGCAGGGUACAGGGUGAUACUCCCGUACACUAAAACACACAGGCUGUGAACUCGAAGAGUAGGGCGGGACACGUGGUAUCCUGUCUGAAUAUGGGGGGACCAUCCUCCAAGGCUAAAUACUCCUGACUGACCGAUAGUGAACCAGUACCGUGAGGGAAAGGCGAAAAGAACCCCGGCGAGGGGAGUGAAAAAGAACCUGAAACCGUGUACGUACAAGCAGUAGGAGCCCACUAGUUGGGUGACUGCGUACCUUUUGUAUAAUGGGUCAGCGACUUAUAUUCUGUAGCAAGGUUAACCGAAUAGGGGAGCCGCAGGGAAACCGAGUCUUAACUGGGCGUUAAGUUGCAGGGUAUAGACCCGAAACCCGGUGAUCUAGCCAUGGGCAGGUUGAAGGUUGGGUAACACUAACUGGAGGACCGAACCGACUAAUGUUGAAAAAUUAGCGGAUGACUUGUGGCUUGGGGUGAAAGGCCAAUCAAACCGGGAGAUAGCUGGUUCUCCCCGAAAGCUAUUUAGGUAGCGCCUCGUGAACUCAUCUUCGGGGGUAGAGCACUGUUUCGGCUAGGGGGUCAUCCCGACUUACCAACCCGAUGCAAACUACGAAUACCGAAGAAUGUUAUCACGGGAGACACACGGCGGGUGCUAACGUCCGUCGUGAAGAGGGAAACAACCCAGACCGCCAGCUAAGGUCCCAAAGUCAUGGUUAAGUGGGAAACGAUGUGGGAAGGCCCAGACAGCCAGGAUGUUGGCUUAGAAGCAGCCAUCAUUUAAAGAAAGCGUAAUAGCUCACUGGUCGAGUCGGCCUGCGCGGAAGAUGUAACGGGGCUAAACCAUGCACCGAAGCUGCGGCAGCGACGCUUAUGCGUUGUUGGGUAGGGGAGCGUUCUGUAAGCCGUUGAAGGUGGCCUGUGAGGGUUGCUGGAGGUAUCAGAAGUGCGAAUGCUGACAUAAGUAACGAUAAUGCGGGUGAAAAACCCGCACGCCGGAAGACCAAGGGUUCCUGUCCAACGUUAAUCGGGGCAGGGUGAGUCGACCCCUAAGGCGAGGCCGAAAGGCGUAGUCGAUGGGAAACAGGUUAAUAUUCCUGUACUUGGUGUUACUGCGAAGGGGGACGGAGAAGGCUAUGUUGGCCGGGCGACGGUUGUCCCGGUUUAAGCAUGUAGGCGGAUGUUCCAGGUAAAUCCGGAACGUUAUUAACGCUGAGGUGUGAUGACGAGGCACUACGGUGCUGAAGUGACAAAUGCCCUGCUUCCAGGAAAAGCCUCUAAGCAUCAGGUAACAUCAAAUCGUACCCCAAACCGACACAGGUGGUCAGGUAGAGAAUACCAAGGCGCUUGAGAGAACUCGGGUGAAGGAACUAGGCAAAAUGGUGCCGUAACUUCGGGAGAAGGCACGCUGAUGGUAAGUGAAGUGACUUGCUCAUGGAGCUGAAAUCAGUCGAAGAUACCAGCUGGCUGCAACUGUUUAUUAAAAACACAGCACUGUGCAAACACGAAAGUGGACGUAUACGGUGUGACGCCUGCCCGGUGCCGGAAGGUUAAUUGAUGGGGUUAUCCUCGCGGAGAAGCUCUUGAUCGAAGCCCCGGUAAACGGCGGCCGUAACUAUAACGGUCCUAAGGUAGCGAAAUUCCUUGUCGGGUAAGUUCCGACCUGCACGAAUGGCGUAAUGAUGGCCAGGCUGUCUCCACCCGAGACUCAGUGAAAUUGAACUCGCUGUGAAGAUGCAGUGUACCCGCGGCAAGACGGAAAGACCCCGUGAACCUUUACUAUAGCUUGACACUGAACACUGGUCCUUGAUGUGUAGGAUAGGUGGGAGGCUUUGAAGUGUGGACGCCAGUCUGCAUGGAGCCGUCCUUGAAAUACCACCCUUUAAUGGCUGGUGUUCUAACGUGGGCCCGUGAUCCGGGUUGCGGACAGUGUCUGGUGGGUAGUUUGACUGGGGCGGUCUCCUCCUAAAGAGUAACGGAGGAGCACGAAGGUCAGCUAAUCCUGGUCGGACAUCAGGAGGUUAGUGCAAUGGCAUAAGCUGGCUUGACUGCGAGCGUGACGGCGCGAGCAGGUGCGAAAGCAGGUCAUAGUGAUCCGGUGGUUCUGAAUGGAAGGGCCAUCGCUCAACGGAUAAAAGGUACUCCGGGGAUAACAGGCUGAUACCGCCCAAGAGUUCAUAUCGACGGCGGUGUUUGGCACCUCGAUGUCGGCUCAUCACAUCCUGGGGCUGAAGUAGGUCCCAAGGGUAUGGCUGUUCGCCAUUUAAAGUGGUACGCGAGCUGGGUUUAGAACGUCGUGAGACAGUUCGGUCCCUAUCUGCCGUGGGCGCUGGAGAAUUGAGGGGGGCUGCUCCUAGUACGAGAGGACCGGAGUGGACGCAUCACUGGUGUUCGGGUUGUCAUGCCAAUGGCAUUGCCCGGUAGCUAAAUGCGGAAGAGAUAAGUGCUGAAAGCAUCUAAGCACGAAACUUGCCCCGAGAUGAGUUCUCCCUGACCCUUUAAGGGUCCUGAAGGAACGUUGAAGACGACGACGUUGAUAGGCCGGGUGUGUAAGCGCAGCGAUGCGUUGAGCUAACCGGUACUAAUGAACCGUGAGGCUUAACCUUACAACGCCGAAG
RNAcentral lists this ribosomal RNA (2927 nucleotides) under Klebsiella oxytoca. Its description in RNAcentral is "bacterial LSU rRNA". It matches the Rfam family "Bacterial large subunit ribosomal RNA". The record is from RNAcentral. Lineage: Bacteria; Pseudomonadati; Pseudomonadota; Gammaproteobacteria; Enterobacterales; Enterobacteriaceae.